CUAUUAAUAACCCCUAAUACACCAAACACCAAAAACUAAACCAUUUUUCCCUCCAAGUAUGGGUGACAAAAAAGAAACGCUCUUUAAAGCUAUAGAAAAAGUACCGCAAGGGAACGCUGAAAAAGAAAUGAAACAAACAGUAAAGUUAAAAAAAGCAGAAAUUUAUCUUCGUACCUUUUGCAUCAUGAUUUAGUAAGUAAAAACCAAGCAAAAAGCAUUUUAGUUUGGCCCCCCGAAACUAAGUGAGCUACUCCAAGACAGCCUAAAACAUUAGGGCUAACCCUUCUCUGUGGCAAAAGAGUGGGAUGAGCUUAGAGUAGAGGUGAUAGACCUACCGAACUUAGUUAUAGCUGGUUGCUUGAGAAAUGAAUAGGAGUUCAGCUUUCUGGUUUCUCAUCUCCAAACUGCUUUAAUUACACCUGAAUUAAGAAACCAAAAAAGUUAAUUAAAGAGGGUACAGCCCCUUUAAACAAGAUACAACUUCAUCAGAUGGGUAAAGAUCAUAUUUUACUUAAGGGAAAAUGUUUUAGUGGGCCUGAAAGCAGCCAUCUAUAAGAAAGCGUUAAAGCUCCCUCAUAGUUUUAUCCAUUAAUCCCGAUAACCCUUCCUAAACCCACUAAUUUUAUCAAGCCACUCCAUGUCAACAUGGAUGAGAUUAUGCUAAUAUGAGUAAUAAGAAAAACUAGAUUUUCUCCAUGCACAAGUGUAACUCGAAACGGACCCCCCAUCUGAAACUUACUUCGGCCCCAAAUAAAAGAGGGUAAUGAACCACAACCUUAAUAACAAGAAAAACAACCAAAAACUAACCGUUAACCCCACACUGGUGUUCUCACCAGGAAAGAUUAAAAGAAAAAGAAGGAACUCGGCAAAUACAAGCCUCGCCUGUUUACCAAAAACAUCGCCUCUUGCUAAUCAAGAAUAAGAGGUCC
RNAcentral lists this ribosomal RNA (929 nucleotides) under Betta splendens (Siamese fighting fish). RNAcentral's name for it is "partial 16S ribosomal RNA". The stretch from base 155 to 665 matches the Rfam family "Bacterial large subunit ribosomal RNA", at positions 573 to 1301 of the family's 2925-position model. The record is from RNAcentral. Lineage: Eukaryota; Metazoa; Chordata; Actinopteri; Anabantiformes; Osphronemidae.